This 496-nucleotide ribosomal RNA is filed under the name uncultured bacterium. RNAcentral's name for it is "bacterial SSU rRNA". It matches the Rfam family "Bacterial small subunit ribosomal RNA", at positions 29 to 520 of the family's 1533-position model. The record is from RNAcentral.
AUUGAACGCUGGCGGCAUGCUUUACACAUGCAAGUCGAACGGUAACAGGCCUUCGGGUGCUGACGAGUGGCGAACGGGUGGGUAAUGCAUCGGAACGUGCCCAAUCGUGGGGGAUAACGUAGCGAAAGUUACGCUAAUACCGCAUAAGCCCUGAGGGGGAAAGCAGGGGAUCGCAAGACCUUGCGCGAAUGGAGCGGCCGAUGUCAGAUUAGCUAGUUGGUGGGGUAAAGGCCUACCAAGGCGACGAUCUGUAGCGGGUCUGAGAGGAUGAUCCGCCACACUGGGACUGAGACACGGCCCAGACUCCUACGGGAGGCAGCAGUGGGGAAUUUUGGACAAUGGGCGCAAGCCUGAUCCAGCCAUGCCGCGUGCGGGACGAAGGCCUUCGGGUUGUAAACCGCUUCUAGCCGGAAAGAAAUACGCCAAGGCUAAUAUCCUUGGUGGAUGACGGUACCGGAAGAAGAAGCACCGGCUAACUACGUGCCAGCAGCCGCGG